UAGAGAUUAGUUAAAUCAUAACACUAGUUUGUCAGGCUUGAAUUAUCUAAUAAGAUAUCUCUAA
This 64-nucleotide transfer RNA is filed under the name Axianassa australis. RNAcentral describes it as "tRNA-Asp". Lineage: Eukaryota; Metazoa; Arthropoda; Malacostraca; Decapoda; Axianassidae. The record is from RNAcentral.